AUGAGAGAGGGUGACCGGAAGGAGCGUGACGACCUGCAGACAAAGGGCGGUGGCGGCGCCGCUCGAUUUGAUCUGCGGGAUAGAGAAGAUGAGAGGGAGAGAGAGAAGGAAGAACAUGAGAGGAGGGAGAAAGAGAGAGGAAAGAGGAGAGGGGGUCGACGGCCAACAGGAGAGGACCACCGGAAGGAGUGCCGCCGGCUCGUCGUCUUCCACCGCCGGCGUCGGCCUGCACCGGCGAGGUCGGGCGGGACCUUGCUUCCAGGGCGGCUUGACCACAGUCUACAGGUGACCACGUCCCUUCUCUCCCUUCUCCCGUAUGUAUCUCUCUAUGUCAUUUCUUCUCCUUUCUCACACGAAGAAACACACAGAACAGUAAAAAUGGAGGAUUUGGGGGCUGCUCAGUUUUGGAGUAGCAAACCAUGGAGGAUAUGGGGCUGCACGUGCUUGGAGCAGCAAGCCAUGGCAAAGAAGGAUAGGGAGGCAGAAGAGAGGACAUGUUGA
Molecule: ribosomal RNA, 501 nt
Filed under: Triticum aestivum (bread wheat)
Lineage: Eukaryota; Viridiplantae; Streptophyta; Magnoliopsida; Poales; Poaceae
Description: partial small subunit ribosomal RNA
Source: RNAcentral